GAAGGAAGUCUGGGACCAUGGGUCUUUUCUCUCAGAGCAGGAAGCCAGAAGAUCAGCAUCUCUCUUCUUUCAAUCUUUCAACAACUCUGUCCUCUGGGAAGUCGAGGAUCAUUGAGUAAUCAAUCUUCACCGAGGAGGUUGUCCCAAACGCUUGGAAUACUGUCCUUCCUUGUUUCCGUGGACUAGACAAUGCAGCAAAGCGACAUCAGCAGAGAGACGUGGAAGCCAGCUGAAUGAGAGAGGACCAAUGACACCACGGAUGAUGUCUCGUUUCACGGGUGAAUUGGAUUUAAGUGAGGCAGAGGCACAAAAUCCUCCACCUCGUUCUCUCUGAGUCAUUGAAGUCCAGGGGCAAGACAAAAGUCAAG
Molecule: long non-coding RNA, 368 nt
Organism: Dromiciops gliroides (monito del monte)
Lineage: Eukaryota; Metazoa; Chordata; Mammalia; Microbiotheria; Microbiotheriidae
Exons: 3
Source: RefSeq, a predicted model, not a curated record